This 227-nucleotide long non-coding RNA is filed under the name Nicotiana benthamiana. RNAcentral describes it as "long non-coding RNA (NBEN_LNC031476)". The record is from RNAcentral. Lineage: Eukaryota; Viridiplantae; Streptophyta; Magnoliopsida; Solanales; Solanaceae.
CUUGAGCAUGUGUAUAAGCUGGUCAAGGCUCUAUAUCGGCUCAAACAGACCCCAAGAGUGUGGUAUGAGCGACUAUCAAAAUUCCUUCUGGAGCAUUGGUAUAAAGGAUGUAAAAUUGAUAGCACCUUGUUCCUAAAGGAAAAAGGUAAAGAGCUACUAAAACUCUGAGUAAGGACUUUGCAAAACUAAUGGGGAGUGAGUUUGAAAUGAGUAUGAUGGGUGAAUUA